AAGGCAGAAGACAUAAACAGUACAAGCAGUACCUUUGCAGCACUGGUGUUGAAGUCCCUGACAGAAUUUUAGGACGUCAUGACAGAGAACCUCCAGCUCACCAUGAUGCACCACUGCAGCCAACAGCAGGAAAACGGAAGAGAGCUGACAGUAAGAAUGGAUCAGCUGCUGAGGACGAUGUGGUUGAUAUAGGAGAGCACCAGACCAUGCAAGGACCAGAGGCUGAGAGACCCAACCCAAAUCCGUCACAGGUAAGAU
Sander lucioperca (pikeperch) is the source of this 258-nucleotide long non-coding RNA. RefSeq lists it as uncharacterized. NCBI's taxonomy places the organism in Eukaryota, Metazoa, Chordata, Actinopteri, Perciformes, Percidae. The transcript is spliced from 3 exons. The record is from RefSeq and is a predicted model, not a curated record.